AGGUUUCACUCUCACAGUCACAGUUUUGGGUGUAUAUUUUCUCUAACUCAUAGGUGCAUGUAUGCACGUGUGUUUUUGCAUGGAACAUGUUAUGCUAUUGGCAUGAUACAUCCAGUUCCCCCAGUGCUUAUGCCUGGCUGUGACAAAAUUAUUUUAAGUUAUUUUUUUUGUGGGCUUUGAAUUAAACUCAUGAGCCAUACU
RNAcentral lists this unclassified non-coding RNA (201 nucleotides) under Hevea brasiliensis (rubber tree). The record is from RNAcentral. Lineage: Eukaryota; Viridiplantae; Streptophyta; Magnoliopsida; Malpighiales; Euphorbiaceae.